Molecule: ribosomal RNA, 404 nt
Filed under: Verrucomicrobiota bacterium
Lineage: Bacteria; Pseudomonadati; Verrucomicrobiota
Description: Verrucomicrobia bacterium partial 16S ribosomal RNA
Rfam family: Bacterial small subunit ribosomal RNA
Source: RNAcentral
UGGGGAAUAUUGCACAAUGGGGGAAACCCUGAUGCAGCGACGCCGCGUGAGCGAAGAAGGCCUUCGGGUCGUAAAGCUCUUUUAUGAGGGAAGAUAAUGACGGUACCUCAAGAAAAAGCCCCGGCUAACUACGUGCCAGCAGCCGCGGUAAUACGUAGGGGGCUAGCGUUGUCCGGAAUCACUGGGCGUAAAGGGUUCGCAGGCGGAAUAACAAGUCAGAUGUGAAAGGCAUGGGCUCAACCCAUGUAAGCAUUUGAAACUGUAAUUCUUGAGAGGUGGAGAGGUAAGUGGAAUUCCUAGUGUAGCAGUGAAAUACGUAGAUAUUAGGAGGAAUACCUAUGGCGAAGGCGACUUACUGGACACAAAUCUGACGCUGAGGAACGAAAGCGUGGGUAGCAAACAGG